This 253-nucleotide ribosomal RNA is filed under the name uncultured bacterium. RNAcentral describes it as "partial 16S ribosomal RNA". It matches the Rfam family "Bacterial small subunit ribosomal RNA", at positions 524 to 776 of the family's 1533-position model. The record is from RNAcentral.
UACGGAGGGGGCUAGCGUUGUUCGGAAUUACUGGGCGUAAAGCGCGCGUAGGCGGACCUGCAAGUCGGGGGUGAAAGCCCGAGGCUUAACCUCGGAAUUGCCUUCGAUACUGCGGGUCUCGAGUCCGGGAGAGGUGAGUGGAAUUCCUAGUGUAGAGGUGAAAUUCGUAGAUAUUAGGAAGAACACCAGUGGCGAAGGCGGCUCACUGGCCCGGUACUGACGCUGAGGCGCGAAAGCGUGGGGAGCAAACAGG